RNAcentral lists this ribosomal RNA (261 nucleotides) under uncultured Lactobacillus sp. RNAcentral describes it as "partial 16S ribosomal RNA". It matches the Rfam family "Bacterial small subunit ribosomal RNA", at positions 271 to 524 of the family's 1533-position model. Lineage: Bacteria; Bacillati; Bacillota; Bacilli; Lactobacillales; Lactobacillaceae. The record is from RNAcentral.
GGGCAAUGAUGCAUAGCCGAGUUGAGAGACUGAUCGGCCACAUUGGGACUGAGGCACGGCCAAAACUCUACGGGGAGGCAGCAGUAGGAAUCUUCCACAAUGGACGCAAGUCUGAUGGAGCAACGCCGCGUGAGUGAAGAAGGGUUUCGGCUCGUAAAAGCUCUGUUGUUGGUGAAGAAGGAUAGAGGUAGUAACUGGCCUUUAUUUGACGGUAAUCAACCAGAAAGUCACGACUAACUACGUGCCAGCAGCCGCGGUAAU